AGUGAACGCUGGCGGUAGGCCUAACACAUGCAAGUCGAACGGCAGCACAGUAAGAGCUUGCUCUUACGGGUGGCGAGUGGCGGACGGGUGAGGAAUACAUCGGAAUCUACUUUUUCGUGGGGGAUAACGUAGGGAAACUUACGCUAAUACCGCAUACGACCUACGGGGGAAAGCAGGGGAACUUCGGACCUUGCGCGAUUGGAUGAGCCGAUGUCGGAUUAGCUAGUUGGCGGGGUAAAGGCCCACCAAGGCGACGAUCCGUAGCCGGUCUGAGAGGAUGAUCAGCCACCCUGGAACUGAGACACGCUCCAGACUCCUACGGGAGGCAGCAGUGUGGAAUAUUGGACAAUGGGCGCAAGCCUGAUCCAGCCAGACCGCGUGGGUGAAGAAGGCCUUCGGGUUGUAAAGCCCUUUUGUUGGGAAAGAAAAGCAGCAGGUUAAUACCCCGCUGUUCUGACGGUACCCAAAGAAUAAGCACCGGCUAACUUCGUG
Molecule: ribosomal RNA, 492 nt
Filed under: uncultured bacterium
Lineage: Bacteria
Description: partial 16S ribosomal RNA
Rfam family: Bacterial small subunit ribosomal RNA
Source: RNAcentral